UUCAAAACUUCUAAUAUUAACGGAGCCCAGAACUCUACAGGGAAAUGACAAAACAGGGCCUGAAGAGCUAUGGACAUGCCUACUGAGAGCAACCAGGAGGGACUCCCUGGAGGAGGCACACUUCAGGAAGAAGGGAGGCUCUGGGCCCGGGACAUGCCACCCUGCAGUCCAGACCCUGCUAACCACACAAGCAGGUGCCUCAGCUGCCCUGGGGAGGUGGGAGACCAUCCAGUGUGACCUCAGCGAGGGCGCUUUGUGACAGAGUGAUGACUGAGGCUGCUGAGGCUGACCUUCGUGGGUCCUCUGGAGUUGGAGAUGCUUUGCCAUUAACCGAAGUUAGACCUAAGCCAGGUGUGGUGUCUGAGGCCGGUCAUCCCAGCGCUCAGGAGACAGAGUCCAGAGCUGGUAAAGACCCUUCUCUCGUCCUUGGAAGUCCAGGGAAGAGGUCACCGUUUCUUCAGCCCACACUCUGUGGCGGAUGGAACACACGUUAUCAGCUGGAACUAUCAUUAACUUCAUUUUAACAGAGGCUCUAAGAGACAGGAAUGGUGACUAUCGAUCUUGACAGCUCCAGAGAGUGAGUCGCCCAGGGCCUGACACCGCUGUGCAAGAGCAGAGACUAGAUGAGGGAUGAGCCGGCAACUAGGAAGCUGGCUUUCAGAACACACCCAGCCUUCUGCCUCUGGUACAUUGACCCCCAGCUCACUGCUCACCCUGUUCCUUGCUGAUCUACCUGCCCUGGCACUGUGACCUCGUGUCUCUCCUCUCCUUUUGGCCCCAGAUGACCCUGGAGGCUUGUGCUCUGGGUCCAAAUCCAUCACAGGAAGGGGAAGGUGCCCCUUCUCUGCCUCUCCCACUCAUGUUCCUCUGCAGCUACAGAAAAAGGAUGGGCCAGGAUGGAGGAGGAGUUCCCUCAGCUCACUUCCUACACUCCUCCAUCACCUCCCAUCCGCCACUCUCUACCUCCAGGUGCUUUGGACAAAUCUCACAUAAGUCUAUGUACACAGCAGCCAAAUGGAGGGAGGGUUCGGGGGAGAUCCACCUGGUAUCUGGCAGUCCCAAAGGGUGGUGUCUCUCAGAGAACCUACAGAAGCCGCAGCCGGUCUAAAUCCUGAGUAGCUACCUGGAGCAACACUCUUUCUUGUUUUCUUCCUCUGUUUUCCUGUUAGUGAACCCACAGGGUUGAUUGUUGUGGUUUGUUUUGGCUCGCAGUUAUUUUGAGACAGGGUUGCAGGUGCACAGUGUGGCCUCAAGCUAACUGUGCAGCCAAGGAAGACCUUGAAUUUGUGGUCUUCCUGCUUCCAUGGUGCUGAGAUUAUAGGCACACUCCACCGUGUACAGUAUGCGGAGGAGCCUUGAACCCAGCUCUCUACUGAUGGAGCCACACCCCCAACCCAUGUAGACAAAAUCACGUGUCAGGGCUGGAGCAAUGCCUCAGCAGCUAAGAGCACUGGCCAGCUCUUGCCAGGAACUAAACCUGGUUCCCAGCGUCCAUGUGGUGGCUGACAAACUUCUCUAACUCUGGCUCUCAAAGAUCUGAUGCCCUCUCCAGGCCACCACAGUUACUGCACCCAU
Long non-coding RNA from Meriones unguiculatus (Mongolian gerbil), 1575 nucleotides. RefSeq lists it as uncharacterized. The transcript has 5 exons. Lineage: Eukaryota; Metazoa; Chordata; Mammalia; Rodentia; Muridae. The record is from RefSeq and is a predicted model, not a curated record.